GAUGAAGAACGUAGCGAAAUGCGAUAAGUAAUGCGAAUUGCAGAAUUCCAGUGAGUCAUCGAAUCCUUGAACGCACAUUGCGCCCUUUGGUAUUCCGAAGGGCAUGCCUGUUCGAGCGUCAUUAUCACCCCUCAAGCCCUCGGCUUGGUGUUGGACGGUUUGGUGGAGGCCCCCUCGGGGGCUCCUGCCCCUCCCAAAGACAAUGACGGCGGCCUCGUUGGACCCCCGGUACACUGAGUUCUUCACGGGACACGUAUCGGACACAUGGGUUUACGGGACACGGUCUGCCUCCCCUCAGGGAGAAUCUUUCUAAGGUUGACCUCGGAUCAGGUAGGGAUACCCGCUGAACUUAAGCAUAUCAAUAAGCGGAGGA
Molecule: unclassified non-coding RNA, 373 nt
Filed under: soil metagenome
Description: partial contains 5.8S ribosomal RNA, internal transcribed spacer 2, and large subunit ribosomal RNA
Rfam family: 5.8S ribosomal RNA (bases 1-121)
Source: RNAcentral